CCUUCAUUUCUUCAUUCCUUCUUUCGUGCGUGAGCUUCGGCAGAGAGAGCAUCUGUGAGCCAAAUUCACCGGUGCUGGGUUUUAAGAUUGUAUUACUGGUGAAGAUUGUGGUGAGAGAGAAAUUUUAAGGAAUAAUUUAUUGAAAAAGCCACAAGGAGAAGAGCCAAGAGUGACACGUGGAGGAGUCCCAGAGGCUUAGUGGUAUAGAUCCACUGUCUCUUUUGGGUAUUUAAUUUAUGAUUUAUAAUGUGUUAUAUUGCCAAUAUUAGGACUUUUUUAUGUUUAUUGUCAAUUAUAUGAAUAUAUAAAUGUAAUCAUGCCUUUCAAACUAUUUCUAUUUUUGGUACAAUUUGGAUGACUGUAAUUUUAAUAUUUGGUUUACUU
Molecule: long non-coding RNA, 384 nt
Organism: Prosopis cineraria
Lineage: Eukaryota; Viridiplantae; Streptophyta; Magnoliopsida; Fabales; Fabaceae
Exons: 3
Source: RefSeq, a predicted model, not a curated record